This 434-nucleotide ribosomal RNA is filed under the name uncultured bacterium. RNAcentral describes it as "partial 16S ribosomal RNA". It matches the Rfam family "Bacterial small subunit ribosomal RNA", at positions 29 to 507 of the family's 1533-position model. The record is from RNAcentral.
AGCGAACGCUGGCGGCAUGCCUAACACAUGCAAGUCGAACGAACCUUUCGGGGUUAGUGGCGGACGGGUGAGUAACACGUGGGAACGUUCCUUUAGGUUCGGAAUAACUCAGGGACACUUGUGCUAAUACCGAAUGUGCCCUUCGGGGGAAAGAUUUAUAGCCUUUAGAGCGGCCCGCGUCUGAUUAGCUAGUUGGUUGAGGUAAUGGCUCACCAAGGCGACGAUCAGUAGCUGGUCUGAGAGGAUGAUCAGCCACACUGGGACUGAGACACGGCCCAAACUCCUACGGGAGGCAGCAGUGGGGAAUCGUGCGAAAUGGGCGAAAGCCUGACGCAGCCAUGCCGCGUGAAUGAUGAAGGUCUUAGGAUUGUAAAAUUCUUUCAACGGGGACGAUAAUGACGGUACCCGGAGAAGAAGCCCCGGCUAACUUCGUG